RNAcentral lists this ribosomal RNA (574 nucleotides) under Hepatozoon sp. 782. Its description in RNAcentral is "bacterial SSU rRNA". It matches the Rfam family "Eukaryotic small subunit ribosomal RNA", at positions 359 to 926 of the family's 1831-position model. Lineage: Eukaryota; Apicomplexa; Hepatozoidae. The record is from RNAcentral.
UUAACGGGGGAUUAGGGUUCGAUUCCGGAGAGGGAGCCUGAGAAACGGCUACCACAUCUAAGGAAGGCAGCAGGCGCGCAAAUUACCCAAUUCUAACAGCAUAAGAGAGGUAGUGACAAGAAAUAACAAUACAAGGCAUUUAAAAUGCUUUGUAAUUGGAAUGAUAGAAAUUUAAACACUUUUUAAAGUAUCAAUUGGAGGGCAAGUCUGGUGCCAGCAGCCGCGGUAAUUCCAGCUCCAAUAGCGUAUAUUAAAAUUGUUGCAGUUAAAAAGCUCGUAGUUGAAUUUCUGCUAAAAAUAACCGGUCUGCUUUUAAUAAAGGUGGUAUCUUGGUGUGUUUUUAGCAAUAAUGUCCUUUGAAAUGGUUUUUACUUUGUUGUAAAAAUCAAUAUUCAGGAUUUUUACUUUGAGAAAAUUAGAGUGUUUCAAGCAGGCUUACGUUUUGAAUACUGCAGCAUGGAAUAAUAAAAUAGGAUUUUAGUUCUACUUUGUUGGUUUUAAGAACUAAAUUAAUGAUUGAUAGGGACAGUUGGGGGCAUUUGUAUUUAACUGUCAGAGGUGAAAUUCUUAGAUU